RNAcentral lists this long non-coding RNA (239 nucleotides) under Gossypium barbadense (sea-island cotton). RNAcentral's name for it is "long non-coding RNA (GBAR_LNC021392)". The record is from RNAcentral. Lineage: Eukaryota; Viridiplantae; Streptophyta; Magnoliopsida; Malvales; Malvaceae.
UCACUAAUAACGACCGAUGAUUUGACUUCAGUUUGUGAAUAUGCCGAACAGAAGUAUUGAGGGCACUGGUUUGCCACUAAGCAUUACACAGAGAGCGAUCUAAUCUAUGAAAUAGAUUACCCAUGUUCCACGUGAACAUGAGACCUUGAAAACCCAAAUCGUUCAACCCUAGACGAAAAACAAAAGAACUGAAUUGACUACAACCUGCAUUAUGCGACACAGGCUCACAUUGCCUUUCA